Molecule: ribosomal RNA, 465 nt
Filed under: Vreelandella stevensii
Lineage: Bacteria; Pseudomonadati; Pseudomonadota; Gammaproteobacteria; Oceanospirillales; Halomonadaceae
Description: partial 16S ribosomal RNA
Rfam family: Bacterial small subunit ribosomal RNA
Source: RNAcentral
CCUACGGGAGGCAGCAGUGGGGAAUAUUGGACAAUGGGGGCAACCCUGAUCCAGCCAUGCCGCGUGUGUGAAGAAGGCCCUCGGGUUGUAAAGCACUUUCAGUGAGGAAGAACGCCUGGUGGUUAAUACCCAUCAGGAAAGACAUCACUCACAGAAGAAGCACCGGCUAACUCCGUGCCAGCAGCCGCGGUAAUACGGAGGGUGCGAGCGUUAAUCGGAAUUACUGGGCGUAAAGCGCGCGUAGGUGGCUUGAUAAGCCGGUUGUGAAAGCCCCGGGCUCAACCUGGGAACGGCAUCCGGAACUGUCAAGCUAGAGUGCAGGAGAGGAAGGUAGAAUUCCCGGUGUAGCGGUGAAAUGCGUAGAGAUCGGGAGGAAUACCAGUGGCGAAGGCGGCCUUCUGGACUGACACUGACACUGAGGUGCGAAAGCGUGGGUAGCAAACAGGAUUAAAUACCCUAGUAGUC